AGUAGAGACGGGGUUUCACCAUGUUGGCCAGGCUGGUCUUGAACUUCUGACCUCAGGUGAUCCACCCACC
MicroRNA precursor from Chlorocebus sabaeus (green monkey), 70 nucleotides. The record is from Ensembl. NCBI's taxonomy places the organism in Eukaryota, Metazoa, Chordata, Mammalia, Primates, Cercopithecidae.